This 457-nucleotide ribosomal RNA is filed under the name uncultured bacterium. RNAcentral describes it as "partial 16S ribosomal RNA". It matches the Rfam family "Bacterial small subunit ribosomal RNA", at positions 28 to 523 of the family's 1533-position model. The record is from RNAcentral.
GAUGAACGCUGGCGGCGUGCCUAAUACAUGCAAGUCGUACGGAAAGGCCCUUCGGGGUACUCGAGUGGCGGACGGCUGAGUAACGCGUGGGAACGUGCCCCAAAGUGAGGGAUAACGCACCGAAAGGUGUGCUAAUACCGCAUAUGGUCUUCGGAUUAAAGCUUCGGCGCUUUGGGAGCGGCCCGCGUACGAUUAGAUAGUUGGUGAGGUAAUGGCUCACCAAGUCGACGAUCGUUAGCUGGUCUGAGAGGAUGAUCAGCCAGACUGGGACUGGGACACGGCCCAGACUCCUACGGGAGGCAGCAGUAAGGAAUCUUCCACAAUGGGGGCAACCCUGAUGGAGCAACGCCGCGUGCAGGGUGAAGGUUUUCGGAUCGUAAACUGCUUUUAUAAGUGAAGAAUAUGACGGUAACUUAUGAAUAAGGAUCGGCUAACUACGUGCCAGCAGCCGCCGUAA